AAUCAGGAUGUUAUAUGGAUUGAAAAAGUUGGUUGCAAAAUAGAGAAGAAAAUGAUGAACUACAAUUAGUUUCAGAUCUAAUUGAUAGUGAAAAUAAGACAUGGAAAAUAGAGUUAAUCAACAAUACCAUUCAAACAGAAGUUGCCUAAAAGAUAUUGCAGAUUCCUCUUACAGAAGUAGACCACGAAGAUUUUCAAGUGUGGAAAGGAGAACUUUCUGGAGAAUUUUCUGUCUGAAGGGCCUAUAAACUAUUACAAUAUCCUAGCUUGGAUCCUAAUAGUUAUUUAUUACAGGUCGAAAUCAAAGAAUUUUACAGGAAACUAUAGGAUUUAUAGCUACCAUAAAAAAUUACAUUAAUAAUUUGGCAGAUCUCCUGAAAUUAUAUCCCUACACUAGUCAACCUUAGACAUAAGCGAGUAAUUACAAAUGUCACAUGUCCUCGCUGUGACUCUGAAGAAGAGGAUAGCCACCAUGCUUUUAGAAAAUGCCCUGUAAUCAAAGAAAUAUGGCAAAACCUUAAUCUCUCUUGGGUUACAUCUCAUAUAAGUCAAAAUAUCUAGGAGUGGCUAACCUGGGUUUUUGGAAAAGGUACUAAGGAACAGUGUUGGUUCUUUUGUUGCGCCUUAUGGUUCAUUUGCAGCUUACGAAAUCAGUAUGUUCAUGAAAGAAAAUCCAUUUCAGUUAGACAUCUGUCACAAAAAAUCAGAAGAUAUGUAGAAGAACUUGAAGUGGUGCGCAAGAAAAAGUUUACCUUUAAUACAGAAGAGUUCAUCACAAACAGGGGCGAUAAAAAUUAAUACGAUAUAGUUCGAUGUUGCUUUUGACAAAAGAUGUUCUAGAUCAGCUUUGGGUUUAGUGGUUCGGGAUCAGAUGGAUGAGUUAAAAGCCUUAAAGAUGAUUCUCCAUUAUAAUAUCUCAUCUCUGUUCUAGCAGAAGCUCAUGCAGGAUUAGAAGCUAUCAAGUUAGUAUUAUCAAUGGGUCUAAGCUCAGCAACAAUAAUAGGAGAUUCAAAAAUAGUUAUAAAAAAUGUCAAUCGAUAGAAGUAGACAAAUUAGUACUAAGAGCAAUUAUCAGAGAUAUUCAAAAUAAGAGAUCUCGGCUCCCAGAGGUUACUUUUCAGUUUAUUCACAGAUCAGAGAAUACUCACGCUCAUAGAAUAGCAAAAGAAGCACUUGAAAGAAGAGAAGAAUCGUACCUGGUGGGGGAAGUGCUGAACCACAAAAAGUUGGCUCUGGAAGGAAGAUGGAGAAGAAACCUAGAUUGAGACUGUCGGUGAGGAGGAAAUAGUAUACAAGAUAGCAGGUAAAGUAAAAAUCUCUUUGGGAAGGAUUAUCUGCUGAAAAGGCAUGGCUGGUGACAGGAAAAGAAGAUAAAAUUUAAUGAUGGCCAGGCUAUUUUGAUUUGACUGGGAAAACUAAUAGGUUUCCUUUUAUUUAUUAUUUCUUUUCUGUUCUUACUUUAAAUUUCUUUCGUUUCUGUUUGUUCAUUUUAGUAAUGGGCCUCUAACUUAAAAUUGGUUGCCAAUUUUUGUUUAUUUGCUUUGUAAGAGAACUUGAGCCCAAAAUUUGUUGGGGAGUAGUUAGAUGGUUUUAUCAAAUAAAAG
RNAcentral lists this long non-coding RNA (1603 nucleotides) under Gossypium barbadense (sea-island cotton). Its description in RNAcentral is "long non-coding RNA (GBAR_LNC010520)". The record is from RNAcentral. Lineage: Eukaryota; Viridiplantae; Streptophyta; Magnoliopsida; Malvales; Malvaceae.